ACGAAAUCGGCCUCAGCCUCAGCUAAGUAUCGAAGAGAACGAAUUCCACAUCCGCACAUGGCGUCGAGAACCCGGAGACUUCCAGUGGUAUUCCGGUAGAGGGCGGCGGAGAGAACACCGAGGUCACGGGCGGUGGCGCUUUCACUGCGGAAGAAGGUGUCGCCGACAUCGAAUUGAUGGCCCCUUUCGGUAUGGCAGUGAGAUUUACAGGGCGGUGGAAUGUUACGUUGGA
This 232-nucleotide unclassified non-coding RNA is filed under the name Hevea brasiliensis (rubber tree). The record is from RNAcentral. Lineage: Eukaryota; Viridiplantae; Streptophyta; Magnoliopsida; Malpighiales; Euphorbiaceae.